RNAcentral lists this ribosomal RNA (466 nucleotides) under uncultured bacterium. RNAcentral's name for it is "partial 16S ribosomal RNA". It matches the Rfam family "Bacterial small subunit ribosomal RNA", at positions 28 to 505 of the family's 1533-position model. The record is from RNAcentral.
GACGAACGCUGGCGGCGUGCUUAACACAUGCAAGUCGAACGGAAAGGCCCUGCUUUUGUGGGGUGCUCGAGUGGCGAACGGGUGAGUAACACGUGAGUAACCUGCCCUUGACUUUGGGAUAACUUCAGGAAACUGGGGCUAAUACCGGAUAGGAGCUCCUGCUGCAUGGUGGGGGUUGGAAAGUUUCGGCGGUUGGGGAUGGACUCGCGGCUUAUCAGCUUGUUGGUGGGGUAGUGGCUUACCAAGGCUUUGACGGGUAGCCGGCCUGAGAGGGUGACCGGCCACAUUGGGACUGAGAUACGGCCCAGACUCCUACGGGAGGCAGCAGUGGGGAAUAUUGCACAAUGGGCGGAAGCCUGAUGCAGCAACGCCGCGUGCGGGAUGACGGCCGUCGGGUUGUAAACCGCUUGCGCCUGUGACGAAGCGUGAGUGACGGUAAGGGGUAAAGAAGCACCGGCUAACUACG